Molecule: non-coding RNA, 244 nt
Organism: Paramuricea clavata
Lineage: Eukaryota; Metazoa; Cnidaria; Anthozoa; Malacalcyonacea; Plexauridae
Source: the annotation of a GenBank genome assembly
CCCGACCCUACCUAGCUUUUGGACGUCGAAAUCCCGACCCUAAAUUUUUUUAUUGGAUCACGCUUGUAAGUGUUUUCACUUAGAGGAAAACGUUUGUGGAAAAUGAAAAUUUGAGGCAAUAUUAGGGAAAUUUAUGUUUGGAUGUGGAAGCACUGACUAAACAAAAUGGCGUCCGGUUGUUAGGAAAAUUAAAAAGAAAAGUAAAAAAAAAGUUAAAACCGACCUACCCUACCUAAGUUUUUAC